Molecule: non-coding RNA, 201 nt
Organism: Pelobates cultripes (western spadefoot toad)
Lineage: Eukaryota; Metazoa; Chordata; Amphibia; Anura; Pelobatidae
Source: the annotation of a GenBank genome assembly
UGUCCUCUCCUCUCCUUUGACUCGGCUUGUAUCUCGCUUACCUGUCCUCCGGCUCCCUCGACCUCGGCUUACCUUUUGACUAUUCUGCUUUGUCCCUACGUUAGUCCGGCCAUUCUAAGGUCCGGUAUACGUACCUCCUUCUGUCCGCACUCUGCGUAUUGGAUCCCUGUCAGUAUCCUGACACUGGGUUAAACUGGGAAU